Molecule: ribosomal RNA, 253 nt
Filed under: uncultured bacterium
Lineage: Bacteria
Description: partial 16S ribosomal RNA
Rfam family: Bacterial small subunit ribosomal RNA
Source: RNAcentral
UACAGGGGGUGCAAACGUUGCUCGGAAUUAUUGGGCGUAAAGCGCGCGUAGGCGGCAACUUAAGUCGGAUGUGAAAGCCCCUGGCUCAACUGGGGAAGUGCACCCGAAACUGAGUCGCUAGAGUACAAAAGAGGGUCGCGGAAUUCCCGGUGUAGAGGUGAAAUUCGUAGAUAUCGGGAGGAACACCGGUGGCGAAGGCGGCGACCUGGUUUGAUACUGACGCUGAGGCGCGAAAGCUAGGGGAGCGAACUGG